CAGCAGCCGCGUAAUACGUAGGGUGCAAGCGUUAAUCGGAAUUACUGGGCGUAAAGCGUGCGCAGGCGGUUAUAUAAGACAGAUGUGAAAUCCCCGGGCUCAACCUGGGAACUGCAUUUGUGACUGUAUAGCUAGAGUACGGCAGAGGGGGAUGGAAUUCCGCGUGUAGCAGUGAAAUGCGUAGAUAUGCGGAGGAACACCGAUGGCGAAGGCAAUCCCCUGGGCCUGUACUGACGCUCAUGCACGAAAGCGUGGGGAGCAAACAGGAUUAGAUACCCCCGUAGUCCCUGUCUCUUAUACA
RNAcentral lists this ribosomal RNA (301 nucleotides) under uncultured bacterium. RNAcentral's name for it is "partial 16S ribosomal RNA". It matches the Rfam family "Bacterial small subunit ribosomal RNA", at positions 509 to 808 of the family's 1533-position model. The record is from RNAcentral.